CCCUUUACAAAGCCGUCCACAGCUUCUGUCAGUCGGGCCAGAUAAGGUAAUCCUGUUCACUUGGCCGUCAGAUGAUGAGCGGGACAUCUUAUAUCUCGCAACCCCCCCCGAGCAGCUCAAAGGCUGCUGGGAAAUCAAAGGUUUGGAGAGAGAAGGAGGUUUUGUUGUGCUCCUUAUCUCUCCCAGUUGGAUUGAGCACUUAAAUAUAUGAUUUGAUCUACACGGCGGACAAAUUGCACGAAGCCGUAAGCCGAGGCAGCAGAGCAGAGAAGAGAAAAGGCAAAAAGGGAGGAGGUCGAAGGUCACUCACGGCUCCACAGGGGGCGUUCUGGAUGGUGACCGUGAACUUCCCCGAGUUGCGGCUCUUGGCGAGGACGUACUGACACGUGGCGGCAAAGGUGUAGAGCCGCCCGUCAAAGGAUUGAAAGUACAUGUCGCCCGUCACCGAGCACUCGCCUGGGGAGGGUCGGGGGGGUCGGGGGGGUGGAGAGAGAACCUUUGCUUAAACUGCUUUAAUGCUCCCUUGUCCUUCCUUGCUUCCUUGCUUGCCUUCAUCCUUAUCUCCUAACUAAGAUGAACCCUUCUUUAAUCUGAAACCGCCUCCUUCCUUUUCACCAAACAGGAACUAGUUACAUGCAACACAUAGAGAGACAUUUUGCUUCUUGGACCAGGUAUUUCCCUACGACUUCCCAAAGAAGGACCCGUCCACUGUUCAGGAGCUUGAGGAAAAGGACGAGGGCGACUAACCGGGGCAGCUGUGCUCGGUGCAGUUCCACACUCCGCCCACGCAUGUGCUGAAACAGAAAGCAGACACGUCCACAGGUGGAGGACAUCCGAGAAACACGGAGCUGAGAUCGCGGAAGGAAGCCGGGUGAACAUUUGUUCGCCCAGGGUUCGUUUUGCAUCCAAAUUUGACCCAUUUUAUUGGGAUAAAAGAGCAACGUUUGAACUAGCAGAUCAAAUAUCCAUUUCUCCUUGUGACAAUGGAAGCAUCGGAGGUGGGAGCAUCGAUUCAGGAUCUGACCCCUCAGCACUCACCAGUUGCUGCAUUCCUCCUGCAGCGUGUGUCCGGAGUGGUAAAAGAGGCCGUGGAACUCGCAGGGACAGUCGGAGGCCUCCACACAGCCUCCGUCCUCGUAAAUCAGACCUGAGGAGAGAGGCGGGAGUCGCUCAGCUCUGUCCGCUCAACAAGAGACCCGACGUCAAUCCGAGGUUCCCAAAGAAGAGGUGACGGCCGCCCCAAUUUGUGGAGGACAGGAAAGGUUUGCCAGCUGUACGCCACGGGGGGUAACAGAACCAGAAUAGAUGCGCACCGUCGGGGCAGUAGCAUCCGUCCAGGCAGGCCAGCCGGCUGUCGAUGCAGGUCCGCUCCAGGUUGCAGGAGGCCGGGCAGCAGCUGAUACACUCCCUGUGCUGCAGACCCGCCGGGCACGACCUGGCUGCUCCCAAAGAAGGUGAACAAAACACACAUUUACCUCUGCGGCCUCUCGGACUCCACCUGCACCUCUCUGACACGAGGGAAGACAAGUGAAAUGAUGUCUCGCUUAGCUGCGGUUUAACUGAUUGACAGUUCAGCCAAUGUCCAAAGUGUUACUUUAUGGUUCCACAUAUACAUUUGUUGUUCAUUUUAGCCAAAUUUAGCGAACGCAAGAGAGGAGAGAUUUAUAAAAUAAUAGAAAUGUGUUUCUUGGCACAAAGUCAUGUGGUAACAUUUUGAGGUUGACCGUAGCCGCAGUUAGCGAGCGCUUCUUUAGCUAACGUUCGUUUGGCCACUUAUCUGAUUUUUAGGAAUUAUUUAAGUAGGAAAUGUGAAUAUAUUGACAAUUCCUACAUUGAAGCUAAAAAUAUAAGAUUUAGUGCUAUUUAAUUGUAUGUCCCGUGCCUUCUAGUUAACCUGUUUGAAUAUAAGAGAAAUUAGUCCUAAAUUCUGGAAAUGAGUCGACAUGUUUGCAUUUCAGAAUCUCUCCUCUCAAAGUAAUGCUUUGUUUUUGGGGUUUGGGGUUAAAAUUCCCCAAAAAAUCUUGGCUGACCAAAGCUUAAGACAUUUUUAGCGUUCCGAAAAUAAUUGAUGUCAUUUUUUUUCUCAAACCAAACGUUAGCUUUUUACUUCCGCCGAUUGCAUUGAGGCUUCAAACGUGAUGAAAAACGGACUGUUUGCCGUGAGAAACGUACCACACUGAGGAAAGUGCUGCCUCCAGCCGUGCAGCGGGUGGUCGGCGUGGGCACAGGCCCGUGCGUACUCGCUGAGCACCUGGCACACCACGUCGCCUUCGGGCCCCGACCUUUGACACAGAAAAGACUCUUUGAGCGGAGCCAGGAGGAAAGGUGUGGCCAGGUAUGGCCAGAUGGACCAGGUGGGCCAGGUGUGGCCAGGUGGACCAGGUGUGGCCAGGUGGACCAGGUGGGCCAGGUGUGGCCAGGUGGACC
This is a long non-coding RNA of Gasterosteus aculeatus aculeatus (three-spined stickleback), 2427 nucleotides long. NCBI's taxonomy places the organism in Eukaryota, Metazoa, Chordata, Actinopteri, Perciformes, Gasterosteidae. The record is from Ensembl.